Molecule: ribosomal RNA, 517 nt
Filed under: uncultured bacterium
Lineage: Bacteria
Description: bacterial SSU rRNA
Rfam family: Bacterial small subunit ribosomal RNA
Source: RNAcentral
AGAAUUGAUCUGGUCAGAACGAACGCUGGCGGCGCGUCUAAGCAUGCAAGUCGAACGGCAAGAGGUAGCAAUACCUCCUAGAGUGGCGGACUGGUGAGUAACACGUGGGUGACAUACCCUUCAGAUGGGGAUAGCUAUUAGAAAUAGUAGAUAAUACCGAAUACGAGCACAGGGGUUAGAGAUCUGUGAGGAAAGGAGCUAAGGCUCCGCUGAAGGAAUGGCCUGCGGCCCAUUAGCUAGUUGGUGAGGUAAGAGCCCACCAAGGCGAUGAUGGGUAUCCGGCCUUAGAGGGUGAACGGACACAUUGGGACUGAGAUACGGCCCAGACUCCUACGGGAGGCAGCAGCUAAGAAUAUUCCGCAAUGGACGAAAGUCUGACGGAGCGACGCCGCGUGGAUGAAGAAGGCCGGAAGGUUGUAAAAUCCUUUUGAAACUGAAGAAUAAGCGUUGUAGGGAAUGACAGCGUGGUGACAGUAGGUUUUGAAUAAGCAACGGCUAAUUACGUGCCAGCCGCUGC